AGAGUUUGAUCCUGGCUCAGGACGAACGCUGGCGGCGUGCCUAAUACAUGCAAGUCGAGCGGACCGGAUUGGGGCUUGCCUUGAUUCGGUCAGCGGCGGACGGGUGAGUAACACGUGGGCAACCUGCCCGCAAGACCGGGAUAACUCCGGGAAACCGGAGCUAAUACCGGAUAACACCGAAGACCGCAUGGUCUUCGGUUGAAAGGCGGCCUUUGGGCUGUCACUUGCGGAUGGGCCCGCGGCGCAUUAGCUAGUUGGUGAGGUAACGGCUCACCAAGGCGACGAUGCGCAGCCGGCCUGAGAGGGUGACCGGCCACACUGGGACUGAGACACGGCCCAGACUCCUACGGGAGGCAGCAGUAGGGAAUCUUCCGCAAUGGGCGAAAGCCUGACGGAGCGACGCCGCGUGAGCGAAGAAGGCCUUCGGGUCGUAAAGCUCUGUUGUGAGGGACGAAGGAGCGCCGUUCGAAGAGGGCGGCGCGGUGACGGUACCUCACGAGAAAGCCCCGGCUAACUACGUGCCAGCAGCCGCGGU
This 535-nucleotide ribosomal RNA is filed under the name uncultured bacterium. RNAcentral describes it as "bacterial SSU rRNA". It matches the Rfam family "Bacterial small subunit ribosomal RNA", at positions 8 to 521 of the family's 1533-position model. The record is from RNAcentral.